AAAAGUCUAAUUUAUUCAGAGGAAAGGUCACUUGUUGCAGAUGCCCACAUGCAAACCCACCCUACAGCCAAAAGAAUUGUAGAGCGAUCUGCGGACAAGGAGGAAGUAAAUUCAUACAAAUUUGCAGCUUUUAAUCAGAGAAUGGUAGACUCCAUACACCAUAUCAACAAAUGUUACAAGUAUUAAUAUUUUGACCAAAUGCCAGCAUGCAAAAUAGACAGUAUUAAUGCAUUUUAAAACAAUUGCUAGACCCUAGAGUCCAGUGUACUUUACCAUAUUAUACUGUAGCUUUAAUUGACCUCUCCUCCCUUCCUACCCACACACACACCCUUUCCAUUAAACUACAGGAACUACUCAUCAUUUUCAGUGAUAGCCAGUACAUUCAUUGGGACUUGGCAAACCAGCUCCCAAAUCCUUCAGAUCCCUCUUUUUGGGACCACACAACCAAUCUGAACUACCACAGUUCUGAGAUGAAGAAAAGGUUGGCGGGGGGGGGGGAGCAGGACUUGAAAAAUUCACCUUUCAGAGUAAGUAUUCUUAGUACAUCUUAUGGAGAAGCUCAUUUCCCAAAGGCGAACUCUACUUCAAAACUUGCUCUUACAAGGAUCGUUCAGAACUCUGCCCAGACCCUCUCAUAGUCGAACCCACUGACAGGAGUAAGAAGAAUCAAGAAUUGAUCCUGUAAAUUGCAGCGCUUGUGGAAGAUGCUCUUCAGAAAGAAUCACAGUGACAGAUGCAGAAUCGGAUCUUCUACCUUUGCUUUAUCCCAGUGAAUCUGUAGACUCAGACUUCUAGCUUCAUCACUACUCAUUGGACAUUAAAGCAACUGGUAAUACUACCGCAUGUAUUGAAAAAGCCCCCUCCUCCAGACGGUUAAGAGCCUGCUUUACAUUAAAAUACAAUUUCUAAUCCUCUUGCAUUCUUUGCCUGCAGAGCUGCCUGCCUCCCUCAGCACUCCUCUGUCUGGAGGGCCUACAUCAGGAAAUGCCUUACAUGGGUAUAAUAAAUUCAGGAUUCAGAUUCCA
This 1025-nucleotide long non-coding RNA is filed under the name Crocodylus porosus (Australian saltwater crocodile). RNAcentral's name for it is "lncRNA (ENSCPRG00005005466.1)". Lineage: Eukaryota; Metazoa; Chordata; Crocodylia; Crocodylidae. The record is from RNAcentral.